Helianthus annuus (common sunflower) is the source of this 2598-nucleotide RNA transcript. RefSeq lists it as uncharacterized. The transcript is spliced from 5 exons. The record is from RefSeq and is a predicted model, not a curated record. NCBI's taxonomy places the organism in Eukaryota, Viridiplantae, Streptophyta, Magnoliopsida, Asterales, Asteraceae.
UGGUGGACGGGAAUUUUCAUCCAAAAAUUUCCCCCAAGCUUGAUCCGGCUUCCAAUUUCAACUCCCCCUGAUUGAUUUUUCUUUUUAUGAAUUUGUUUCAUUUUCACCAAAUAAUUCCCUCCCAACCAAUCCCGCUUCCGAUUUCAAUCCUAAAUGAUUUCCUCUUAAAAGCCCUAAUCAGGAACUCUUUCAAGUAUGUUCUUUGGCCUCCCAAAAUCACAACAAAUCUUCAAAAGCCCUAAUUAGAUCUCUUCAAUAGAGCAUAUGAUUCCGAACUGCUCUCCUAAUCAAAUCUACACUCGCUCAAGAACAACAGCCAGCCGAAAAGUCGGACUGGAAACCGGUCGGUUGGACCGAAAAACCAGGAGGUUGGAUUGGAUUUUUAAUCGGCCGGUCUCCCUACCUCGAUUCCCUCACACGGUUCUAGCAUCCUUUCAGGAUUUGGUUAUGGCGGAAGGUCAUCGCUACACCCUUGUUGCUCAGUUAGGUGAGUUUGACUCUGACUAGUGUCUCUUGAUAUGAUUCUUGUUGAUUUUUUUUAUUUAAUUUAAGUUUCGUGAGUUAGGGUUUAUAGAACUGUAGGAUCUUGUAUGAUCGUGUGUUUAGGGUUAUCUAUGUGUAUAGUGAUGAGGUGAUGAAGUGUUGGAUUCACUAAUUUGUUUGGAUUUAUUUGCUGGUUAUAGUUAGGUUAUUCUUAUUGUGUGGAUGCAUGAACUCGUUAAGAAAUAUGUGCUUAUAAUACUUACUUUUGAUGUGUUUUUCGUUUAAUCAUAUGUAAUGCUUAUAAUACUUACUUUUGAUGUGUUUUUUGUUUAAUCAUAUGUAAUUUAGGCUCAUAGGUUCGUGUGAUUGUGUAGUAUGUGGAAAGAUGCCUGAAUCCCUAAUACCCCAAGUUGCAACAGCUUCUUGACUAGUUGUUUGAUGGGAGUAUUUAGCCACUAACCUGUUAACCAUAUGCUCAGCUACCAAUCCCUAGUUUAGCAUAUUCAUAUUGGUGUAUAUUAUUGUUAUUUGUUUGCCAACAAAAUGGCCACUAAUUGUCUAAUUAUAUUCUAACCUGUUUAUAGUAUGCCACCAAUUUAAUGGUAUUUUAAUAAUCCUGAUGUUCGUUUCCUCAUAGUUAGAGGUUUAAACGAGUUGAUUCAAGCCGAGCCCAAGCUUAUUUAGGCUCAAGUUCUGCUCACUAUAUAAAUAAAAAGCUCGUUUAGACUCGUAGACCUGCUUGAGCUUGUUAUUAAAUGAGCCUCAAUAACAUUUGUGUGUGUGUGUGUGUGUUUUUUUUUUUUUUUUUUUUUUUUGAGAAAGUGAUGUAAAUCUAAUAAAUUUAUGAUUUUUUUAAAUUUAUCUUUUAAUAUUAUAUUCUUAUUAACGUCAAAUGAGUUCAGCUCCUUAAAAAUUUGCAUUUGCAGCUUAAAUUAAGAUAUGUAUGUUCAUGUAAUAGCAGUUUUAAUUAUGAUAUGUAUGUUCAUGUAAUGAAGAUGACAUUGUUUCUUGUGGAUUGUGAUAAGGUAAUUUAUUUGAAUGAUCUGAACUAGGGAUGGACAUUUGGUAUCGGGUACCUAAAUCGUGGGUUAUCACCUCCUUCCCUCCAGCCUCAAAUCGACUCUCCUAAAUCGUGGAUUUACUUCCCCUACCCUCACAUAAUCACCACGAUCAAGUACUUUGACCAUCUAAUUACAAACUAUGAUGCUAUCAUUCCUAUCCAUGAUUUGCAGGGAUGUGGAAUCGGUUAUGAAACCAUGUGGUGGUUCACAGGGAAAAUUAAUUGGUUUAUUGGCUCAUGGUUUAGAAAAAAAAAACGUCCAAGGUGUCUGUAUUGAGGUGAGUCUAGAGGCGAGACAGGAAGAAAUCGUUUUUGAGGCGGCGCAUCGCUAGUUAAUUAUGUUGUAAAUCACAUGAAAACCCCCUGGAUCAUUUUGUCUUUUUAAAUGUUUCUAGUUACAUUGUCCUAAAUAAUCCCACUUUCUCUGUAGUCGCAUACCCCAAUAGUAUUGACAAAAGAGAUCACUCUUACAGUGUCCUUCUUGAUUCAUUUGAGCUUUGGUGUUUCACUGGUAUAAUCAUUGUUUUUGUUCAUCACCGGGUUCAUGAGAUGGAUUCCAAGAUUUUGAAGAACUAGAGGUAUGCAUGGAAGCACACGAAAUAAAGUGGGAAAAUUUCUAUAGAAGAAUAUAUUUUUUCAGACUUUGACAGCUCUAGCAACUUCCUUUCAUGCGCUACAACCUUUGACAGAUUCUAUAUCUCGCUUUGUAUAGGUUAAGUUACUAAGUGACAUAAAUUUCCAGCCAAAACCAUGAGUAGAAAUGGUCAGAAGAGGUGGCCAUAGUUCCAACAUUUGAUGGUAGACAUGUUUAACGGAGCCUUUCUUAAGGAACGCUGAACUUGUAUCUUUACCAGAAUCAUACCAUCUGACAGACAUCAACAAAGCUUGGAGGCUCUGAUCUGGAGAGCUAUCAAACAACUAUCACUUGAAGAUCAAGACGAGUAGAAUAUUCUCUUUAUUAUUAGGAUGUUAUAUGUUGAUGUUAUACAAUAACUAUUAGGAUGUUAUAUGUUGAUGGUCUAUUUAUAAAAUUGGUUUUAUAAUCUUAUUUGGGA